Bicyclus anynana (squinting bush brown) is the source of this 685-nucleotide long non-coding RNA. RefSeq lists it as uncharacterized. The transcript is spliced from 3 exons. Lineage: Eukaryota; Metazoa; Arthropoda; Insecta; Lepidoptera; Nymphalidae. The record is from RefSeq and is a predicted model, not a curated record.
UCUUAUAAUAACUCUUUCAAAAAAUUUUUGUGAAGUACAUGUUGUAUAGAAAUUGAAACCUUUUUUAAUCAUGAUAUAGAAUUGGUAUUCUAGUUUCCACAAUACUAAUUUUAUUUGGAUACUAAGUUCUUUUUAUUUGAUACUAGCUGACACCGCGCGGCUUUACCCGCGUGGUUCCCGUUCCCGUAGGAAUACAGGGAUAUGUAGCUUACAGCCUUCCUCGAUAAAUGGGCUACCUAACAAAGAAAGAAUUUUUUAAAUCGGACUAGUAGUUCCUGAGAUCAGCGCGUUCAAUCAACCAAACAAACAAACAAACUCUUCAGCUUUAUAAUAUUAAUAAUAUAAUAUAGAUUUACUGACUAAUAUGAUGAACAUCUGUCAUGCACCAAUCUGAAAGGUUUUGCUGAACAAUCACCUACCGGUAUAUCUGACACCAAACAAUUUAAUUCUUGUAUAAUUACAUACCAUCAUUACAUAAUGUGUAUUGAUAUAUGUCACUUUCUAUUUCAGAUCCGGUUUACAAAGUCCUCCAGUUAUUUGAGAAAAAAAGAUUACAGAGAACCUCUCCACAGAGCAUCUCUCUUAUGUUUAAGGUAACAAUUUGGAAGCCUCUUCAAAACAAUUACGUAUAACAUGUAUAACAUUCUUAUAAUUUAUAUUGAAAAUAAAGAUAAUUAUUAUUUUA